Molecule: long non-coding RNA, 1102 nt
Organism: Neofelis nebulosa (Clouded leopard)
Lineage: Eukaryota; Metazoa; Chordata; Mammalia; Carnivora; Felidae
Exons: 3
Source: RefSeq, a predicted model, not a curated record
UAACUGAAACACGGAUCUGAAAACGGCUCCCUACACUGGACUCCUAAUCCCUGAAAGAGAGGAUCGGAUUUUGCACGGAAUCUGGAAGCAACCUGGAAACAGACCACUGUCCCUCUACCGCUCCAGACAGCAGAUGGAAGCAGACAGUCAAGUUUCGAGAAGUUAGCGAACACCAGCCCGGAGCUGCCAGAGAAGACGCUCGGCGCGCGAGGGGCUGGACCCAGGACGCGCAGCAUCUCUGGGGUCUCGGGCACUGGAACGGCCACCUGUAUCGGGUAAUCUCUACACCCAACAGGAGGCUCAAACUCACACCCCCAAGAUCAAGAGUCACGUGUUCCACUGAAUGGGCCCGCCAGACACUCCCAGAUUUAGUUUUUAUUCACCACUUCCUGACUGUUGUCCUUUGUGUUGACUUUUCAUUCUCAGGCUGCCUUUCUCCAUGAGAUGGCAGAAUGGCUGACUGCUUACAACUUCAAAUCGCACCCUCACCAACGGAACGAGUCUCUUUUCCUCGCGGCUGUCCACGAAAGUUCUGGGACUGCCUCUUGUUGUUCCCACUCGGGUUGUUGGCAACUCAGUAAACCGCGCUCUUGAGAAGGGGCCUGGGGUCACAGGCCUGGGUCACAUGCUCCCUUCUGGAGCUGCAGCGAGGUGGGCAGCUCUCAAGUCUCAGAGAGUGAGAAUUGAGGAGACGUAGCUUCGUGUGUGAGGUAUUUCCUGUUGGUGCCUUCGGAUGAUGUACGUCUCGACUCUUUGCUUCCUGAUUUGGAUCUCAGGAGGCCGACCUGCAUGGAGUGCUUCAGUGGGUCCCUUAUCCUCUGGCUUCCAUGGGAAUUUUUCCAGUAGAAGACAUGAGUAGGAGAUCAGAGGGGUUGGAAGAAGAUGAAGUGAGGGUAUUAGUCCAGAGGCCCCUUCCCUCCCAAGUUGCGGCGUCGUGGCUGCAUAUACGUCUACUGAGGCUUGUGUCCAGUGUCAUACAGAUCUCUGCUCUAGUUAUGUUGAAAUCUUUCUUCUCGGGGCGCCUGGGUGGCGCAGUCGGUUAAGCGUCCGACUUCAGCCAGGUCACGAUCUCGCGGUCCGUGAGUUCGAGCCCCGCGUCAGG